RNAcentral lists this ribosomal RNA (253 nucleotides) under uncultured bacterium. RNAcentral describes it as "partial 16S ribosomal RNA". It matches the Rfam family "Bacterial small subunit ribosomal RNA", at positions 524 to 776 of the family's 1533-position model. The record is from RNAcentral.
UACGUAGGGUGCGAGCGUUGUCCGGAAUUAUUGGGCGUAAAGCGUGCGUAGACGGUUACAUAAGUCGGGUGUGAAAGCCCCGGGCUCAACCUGGGAAUUGCAUUCGAGACUGCGUAGCUAGGGUGCGGAAGAGGGAAGCGGAAUUUCCGGUGUAGCGGUGAAAUGCGUAGAUAUCGGAAGGAACACCAGUGGCGAAAGCGGCUUCCUGGUCCAGCACCGACGUUCAGGCACGAAAGCGUGGGGAGCAAACAGG